CGGCUGCCGCGGGCAGAAACUCGCCGGCCAGUUCCUUCCUGAGGACCUUCCUUUUCAUUCAUUCUUUUACGUUUUCCAAUCCUCGCUGAACGAUUUACAGAGCUGCUGUUUUCUUCCUAAUUUAAUUUGAAAUUUGAAUUAUUCUUGGGCUCACAUUCAUUAAUAUAGUUAGCAAGUAUAAACGUUGGUGUGUUCUGUACAUUUUCAAGCUUUCUAAGGUGGAAAUGCAACUGGAGCUCAGGACACUCUGCUGCUGCUGCUUUGUGCAUGCUUAAGUUUGCACUCGAGUGACUUGUUCUGUGAGCCUUGCUUCUGGUCUCCAGGAGCUAGCCAGUUAUUUUGUGGUUUUCCUGUUUUCAUUUUCCCUAUUUAAAGCCAAACUUGCUGGAUCUGAGUCUUAAUAGUUCAGUCAAGUUGGUACCUAAGGGCGAAGCAAUUCUGGAAAGUAUUAGAGCAACCAACUACUCACAGACAAAGCACUGGAAAAUGACACUUAGACCACAUGUAAACUGAUAAAGAGGUUUAACACAGGUUGAGGAUUUUUUUGUUUUUUCUUUCUCUAAAAGGAAAGAAUCGGUCCACUGGGGAAGGUUUGUAAAGGGGAGUAGCUUAGGACUUGAGUUUUUUUCUUCUUUUAGGUAGGGCAACUAAACUGCAGUUUGUUAGAAGUGUCUCAAACUAUUGAAGAAAAACUCAUCAAAUUAUACUUUUUAUUGGGAUUAGUAAGUCACUCUUCAGAUAAGUUUGUGUAUACAAUUUUUAUAAAAAUCUCAAAGGACACUGGGGCACCUGGCUGACUCAGUCUGUAGAGCAUGUGACUCUUGAUCUCAGGGUUGUGAAUUUGAGCCCCAUGUUGGGUGUGGAGAUUACUUAAAAAUAAGAUCUUACAAAAAAAUUAUAGUUGCUUAAUUCUGUAGAAACAAACUCAUCCUUUAAUUUUUUAAAAAAUUAUUUUAAGUAAUCUCUAUACCCGAGGUGGGGCUUGAACUCAACCCUGAGAUCGAGUCACAUGCUCUACCGACUGAGCCAGCCCAGCACCCCUAUAAAUGUUUAACUCUAGUAAAUCUAAUGUGAUUAGUUUCUCAGGCCUUUUCAAUGGCUUUUAUAAAAGUCACAAAACUGGACUAAAUGAAGACCAACCACUUCAUCUAAAAUAAGAGAUGGGAACAUACCUGGAUAUUAAGAAGCCAAGAUUUUCUGUUGGGUAACAGCAUUUCUCAGAAAAGGAUUUUCCUUUUGACAGGGUUUUUAUGUGUUCUGUCUUCACAAGUCGGUCACAAUUACCCGGUGAAGAAGAAAACCAAUGGAGAGGUUAUGUACAUAAGCUUUUUAAGGCACUAAAGUGCAUGGAAAACGAAGAUGAAUAAUAUGCAACCCUAUCCCUUGAAGAAUCCAGUCUAAACAUGAGAUUAUGAGCCAAGAGAAAAAUGAUAGAAGAUAGACGAAUAACGAAGCUUGUGCCCAGGAAGCUCAGAGGGUACAGAACCUUGAUUUGCUCACUUCAGUGAAGAUCUGAUUUUGUCAAUGCAGGUAGGAGGGAUAGACUCGUGCCAUGAAAGCUCAAAGAGACUGCUGUCUACACCUCUUGUCAAUUUAUUGGUUUUUUGGGAGAUUAUACAUUUAUAUUGAAUGUAGUAUUCUUGUUUAUUCUUGUUUAAUGUUUGAGAUCAGUGCUCAUCAAUAAAAAUAUAAUACUAAUCACAAAUAUGAGCCACAGAAGUAAUUUUAAAUUUUCUCGUAUCCAUAUUAAAAAAGUAAAAAGA
Molecule: long non-coding RNA, 1763 nt
Organism: Zalophus californianus (California sea lion)
Lineage: Eukaryota; Metazoa; Chordata; Mammalia; Carnivora; Otariidae
Exons: 3
Source: RefSeq, a predicted model, not a curated record